CUUGUUUCUGAUUAAUAGGGUACUAUUUUUUAAAAAAUAAUUUCAGGGGUUAAUGAAAAAGAGCCCUGCAUCCCAAAUGCCUAGUCCUACCACAAAAAGUCUGCACUUUCCAUUCCUUUGAAAGCCAUGGAAGCUUCCAGUGCACACCUUCCUUGGGAGCUCUGGUCAGGCUCGGCAGAACAGAUUUACCAUAGAGGCAGCCACCAAGCUGAGCCUCAAGGGAAG
This 225-nucleotide long non-coding RNA is filed under the name Homo sapiens (human). RNAcentral describes it as "HSALNT0050627". The record is from RNAcentral. Lineage: Eukaryota; Metazoa; Chordata; Mammalia; Primates; Hominidae.